This 407-nucleotide ribosomal RNA is filed under the name uncultured bacterium. RNAcentral's name for it is "partial 16S ribosomal RNA". It matches the Rfam family "Bacterial small subunit ribosomal RNA", at positions 30 to 526 of the family's 1533-position model. The record is from RNAcentral.
AUUGAACGCUGGCGGCAGGCCUAACACAUGCAAGUCGAGCGGAGCGGCGGAGGGGUGGGUAAGGCCAAGGAAUCUGCCUGGUAGUGGGGGAUAACGUCCGGAAACGGGCGCUAUUACCGCAUCCUAUCAGAUGAGCCUAGGUCGGAUUAGCUAGUGGUGGGGGUAAAGGCCUACCAAGGCGACGAUCCGUAACUGGUCUGAGAGGAUGAUCAGUCACACUGGAACUGAGACACGGUCCAGACUCCUACGGGAGGCAGCAGUGGGGAAUAUUGGACAAUGGGCGAAAGCCUUAUCCAGCCAGGCCGCGUGUGUGAAGAAGGUCUUCGGAUUGUAAAGCACUUUAAGUUGGGAGGCGUUACCAACAGAAUAAGCACCGGCUAACUUCGUGCCAGCAGCCGCGGUAAUAC